RNAcentral lists this ribosomal RNA (592 nucleotides) under Exophiala alcalophila. RNAcentral's name for it is "LSU rRNA". It matches the Rfam family "Eukaryotic large subunit ribosomal RNA", at positions 33 to 646 of the family's 3401-position model. Lineage: Eukaryota; Fungi; Ascomycota; Eurotiomycetes; Chaetothyriales; Herpotrichiellaceae. The record is from RNAcentral.
UUUCCUUUUAAAAAGCGGAGGAAANGAACCCACCAAGGGAUUGCCUCAGUACGGCGAGUGAAGCGGCACAGCUCAAUUUGAAAUCUGGCCUCUUGGGUCCGAGUUGUAAUUUGUAGAGGUGUUUCGGGUACCGCCCCGGUCUAAAUUUCUUGGAACAGAAUGUCAGAGAGGUGAGAAUCCCGUCUUGGACCGGUGGUAGGGCCUAUGUGAAACUCCUUCGACGAGUCGAGUUGUUUGGGAAUGCAGCUCAAAAUGGGUGGUAAAUUUCAUCUAAAGCUAAAUAUUGGCCAGAGACCGAUAGCGCACAAGUAGAGUGAUCGAAAGAUGAAAAGCACUUUGAAAAGAGAGUUAAACAGUAUGUGAAAUUGUUGAAAGGGAAGCGCUGGCAAUCAGACUUGCGCGCGGCGGUUCCCCCUGCCUUUUGGCUGGGUUAUUCCGCCGUGUCCAGGCCAACAUCGGUUCUGGGGGCCGGUUAAAGGCCUUGGGAAUGUACCUACCCUUCGGGCGUAGACUUAUAGCCCAAGGUGUCAUGCGGCCUCCCGGGACCGAGGAACGCGCUUCGGCUCGGAUGUUGGCGUAAUGGUUGUCAGCG